This 497-nucleotide ribosomal RNA is filed under the name uncultured bacterium. RNAcentral's name for it is "partial 16S ribosomal RNA". It matches the Rfam family "Bacterial small subunit ribosomal RNA", at positions 28 to 507 of the family's 1533-position model. The record is from RNAcentral.
GACGAACGCUGGCGGCGUGCCUAAUACAUGCAAGUUGAGCGAUGAAGAUUGGUGCUUGCACCAAUUUGAAGAGCAGCGAACGGGUGAGUAACGCGUGGGGAAUCUGCCUUUGAGCGGGGGACAACAUUUGGAAACGAAUGCUAAUACCGCAUAACAACUUUAAACAUAAGUUUUAAGUUUGAAAGAUGCAAUUGCAUCACUCAAAGAUGAUCCCGCGUUGUAUUAGCUAGUUGGUGAGGUAAAGGCUCACCAAGGCGAUGAUACAUAGCCGACCUGAGAGGGUGAUCGGACACAUUGGGACUGAGACACGGCCCAAACUCCUACGGGAGGCAGCAGUAGGGAAUCUUCGGCAAUGGACGAAAGUCUGACCGAGCAACGCCGCGUGAGUGAAGAAGGUUUUCGGAUCGUAAAACUCUGUUGGUAGAGAAGAACGUUGGUGAGAGUGGAAAGCUCAUCAAGUGACGGUAACUACCCAGAAAGGGACGGCUAACUACGUG